UACGUAGGGGGCGAGCGUUGUCCGGAUUCAUUGGGCGUAAAGAGCUCGUAGGCGGCUUGGCAAGUCGGGUGUGAAAACUUCAGGCUCAACCUGGAGCGGCCACUCGAUACUGCCAUGGCUAGAGUCCGGUAGGGGACCACGGAAUUCCUGGUGUAGCGGUGAAAUGCGCAGAUAUCAGGAGGAACACCGGUGGCGAAGGCGGUGGUCUGGGCCGGAACUGACGCUGAGGAGCGAAAGCGUGGGGAGCGAACAGG
Molecule: ribosomal RNA, 254 nt
Filed under: uncultured bacterium
Lineage: Bacteria
Description: partial 16S ribosomal RNA
Rfam family: Bacterial small subunit ribosomal RNA
Source: RNAcentral